CUGGGGCACACCUUCAGCUCCCCUUGCUGCCGGGACACCAUGUUACACCUGUACUUGGAUGCAGCAGCUGAACUUUACAUGAAUACUAGAGGCUGUGGAUGCCAACUUACAUUGACCUGAGAGAACAAUAACAUAGCCGUCAAGAGCACAGAGCUUGAGGAUCAGCUGCACCAGGGGAGGAGGUUCAAACUCUCCCUAACAAUCCGGAGGGUGUGCAAUGGGAGCCACUCCCCAGUCCGCAGCUUGUGGAGGGACA
RNAcentral lists this long non-coding RNA (256 nucleotides) under Chinchilla lanigera (long-tailed chinchilla). Its description in RNAcentral is "lncRNA (ENSCLAG00000026356.1)". Lineage: Eukaryota; Metazoa; Chordata; Mammalia; Rodentia; Chinchillidae. The record is from RNAcentral.